RNAcentral lists this ribosomal RNA (677 nucleotides) under uncultured euryarchaeote. RNAcentral's name for it is "bacterial SSU rRNA". It matches the Rfam family "Archaeal small subunit ribosomal RNA", at positions 321 to 1001 of the family's 1478-position model. The record is from RNAcentral. Lineage: Archaea; Methanobacteriati; Methanobacteriota.
CCCUAUGGGGUGCAGCAGCUGAGGAAAUUUUACAAUGCUCGAAAGAGUGAUAAAGCAAGCCAGAGUGUUUCUCUUAGAGAAACUUUUGUCUGCUGUAAAAAGGCAGACGAAUAAGGACUGGGCAAGACCGGUGCCAGCCGCCGCGGUAAUACCGGCGGUCCGAGUCGCAUCCACAUUUAUUGGGUCUAAAACAUCCGUAGCUUGUUCUGUAAGUCUCUUGUGAAAUCCCAUAUCUCAAGUAUGGGGCGUGCAAGAGGUACUGCAAAGCUAGAGACCGGAAGACGUAAGGAGUACGAUUAAGGUAGCGGUAAAAUGUAUUAAUCUUAAUCGGACUAACAAUGGCGAAGGCACCUUACGAGUACGGAUCUGACAGUGAGGGAUGAAGGCUAGGGGCGCAAAAGGGAUUAGAUACCCCUGUAGUCCUAGCAGUAAACGCUGCUCACUAAACAUUAGUACCUCUUAGAGAGGUAUUGGCGCUGUAGGGAAGCCGGAGAGUGAGCUACCUGGGAAGUAUAGUCGCAAGGCCGAAACUUAAAGGAAUUGGCGGGGAGGCACUACAACGGGUGACGCGUGCGGUUUAAUUAGACUCUACACCGUGAAUCUCACCAGGAGCGACAGCAGAAUGAAGGUCAGUCUAAAGGGCUUACCUGACACGCUGAGAAGUAGUGCAUGGUCAA